Molecule: ribosomal RNA, 206 nt
Filed under: uncultured Porphyromonadaceae bacterium
Lineage: Bacteria; Pseudomonadati; Bacteroidota; Bacteroidia; Bacteroidales; Porphyromonadaceae
Description: partial 16S ribosomal RNA
Rfam family: Bacterial small subunit ribosomal RNA
Source: RNAcentral
UGCGUAGGUGGUUUGAUAAGUCAGCGGUGAAAGUUUGCAGCUUAACUGUAAAAUGCCGUUGAAACUGUCGGACUUGAGUGUAAAUGAGGUAGGCGGAAUGCGUGGUGUAGCGGUGAAAUGCAUAGAUAUCACGCAGAACUCCGAUUGCGAAGGCAGCUUACUAAGCUACAACUGACACUGAAGCACGAAAGCGUGGGGAUCAAACA